GCCGCGGUAGCUCAGUGGUAGAGCAUGCGACUGAAAAUCGCAGGGGCGCCGGUUCGAUCCCGGCCCGCGGCACAA
This 75-nucleotide transfer RNA is filed under the name Candidatus Jorgensenbacteria bacterium CG11_big_fil_rev_8_21_14_0_20_38_23. RNAcentral describes it as "tRNA-Phe". It matches the Rfam family "tRNA". From Rfam's summary of the family: Transfer RNA (tRNA) molecules are approximately 80 nucleotides in length. Their secondary structure includes four short double-helical elements and three loops (D, anti-codon, and T loops). Lineage: Bacteria; Candidatus Joergenseniibacteriota. The record is from RNAcentral.